This 1982-nucleotide long non-coding RNA is filed under the name Capra hircus (goat). RNAcentral describes it as "lncRNA (ENSCHIG00000000838.1)". Lineage: Eukaryota; Metazoa; Chordata; Mammalia; Artiodactyla; Bovidae. The record is from RNAcentral.
UCUGCCUCAGGGAGCUCCAGAAGAGCAGCAGCAGUGGCCCAGGGCCUCUAUGGGCCGGGACUAUCUUGUCUAUUGCCAGCAGAUAGGGAGUAAGAUUCUGCAGGGGACAAAAAGCAGGCAGGCCCUAACUGGCUAAAAAUCUGCUUGUUUGGGCUAUUUUUACAUAAUUAAAUGUAUAAACAUUUGAGUUUGGCACAAGCAGGCUUUUGAGCUAAUGGGUCUCAGCUUGCAGUAAAGAUAUAAGCAAUAUAGGGGCCAACAGAGAGGUCUUCUUUGGCUCAUUUAUAAAACAAUAGGAAAAAGGGAAGAUUGCACCUCAUUUCUGGUGACCAUUUUAAUAGGACACAGGCCCAGCAUGAGAACUCAGGACUGUAUAUUCUAGGAUGAGAAGGAAAAACAAAAGGAGUUCAGGGGGAAUCUGAGAAACUAGCUGAAGGCUUAGUGGUGGAAAGCCCUUUAAGUUUCUGAUAAAGGGUUUCACGUCCAGUCCAGGUCUCUUCUGUAGAGGUUGACUAUAAGAAAGAGGAUACUAAAUGCUGAAUGGUGUUCUGCAAGGAAAGAAUCCCUUGGCAAAGUUCCCAGUUCCUACAAAGUCCACCUGUGCUAAAGCAGAUUCACUCCUUAUGUCAAGAAAUCGUAUGAGGUUGAAGAGAUUCAGGCUGUGGGCUAUCAGGACCACAGACGCUGAAAAGCUGCAUCUUAAGUGCCUCAGGACAUGGCAGAGUGCUGUGGCAUCUCCCCAGGAUGGCAACUGCUGCCCACCGAUGAAGUCUUAGCAAAGUGUUAGCCCUACAGAAGAGGAGUGCAUCUGUGUACUUUGGGCCAUCAAAAAAGUACCACACUGGGUGGCAUAAAUAACAGAAAUUUUAUUAUUUCACUGUUCUGGAGGACAGAAGUCCAAGAUCAAGAUGUUGGGAGGGCUGGUGUCUUCUGAGACCUCUCUCCUUGGUUUAUGGAUGAUGUUUUCCUCUUUUCUGUCUUUCCUUGAUCUUCUCUAUGCCUGUGUCCUAAACUCUUUUUAUAAAGAGUCCAGUCAUGUUGGAUUAGGGCCCACACAUAUAACCUCAUUUAAUCUUAUUUUCAGGUGUUAGGGAUCAGGAGUUUAGCAUACAAAUUUAGGGGGAAUAUAAUUCAGUCCAUAUCAAGAGUAAUAACUGAAUCCUUCAAUCUACUGAUGCCACAUUUGCUUAACGAGAACAUUGUGGAUGUUUGUCUGAAAUCAAGCUCAAUGAACACAUGUCUUCAUCUUGAACACAAUCAUCUAUUUUAGUUCAUUAUAUAUGAGAGACAAGAAAGGCUUAAUAGCACCAAAGCAUGGUUAGUUAGGGUGUCUGCUCUUUAUACAACCAAUAAUCCAAUUCUGACUAUCCUAAUAGUCAGAGUGACCUGUUCUUGUAAAAUAAUUGGCACUCCCUCACCUGUAGGCAGAGAUUCAAUCUUCUCUAAUGCCAAAAGGUACAAUUCUCCAAAAAGCGGUCUGCCUAAUUGUAAGGUGAUCUUCUGUGGCUACUUAUUCUGUGAUAUAGUUAUCAAUGACUCUCAUUAAAGGAAAGAAAAUCACAUAUUUAAUUUCCAUUGGGGCCAACCCCCUGUCUGCACACAAUUCAUACACAGCUGAAGAGAGUGGCAGAUACAUUCUUUGCAAAGGACAACAGCUACAAAAGUACAAGCAUAGAGAGGAGACAGCUGACAAAAAAUGACAGUAUCUGGUAUAAAGGCAGUUUAGGGAAGGUACUUCUGGUGGUAGAAGGUGAAAUGUAAAGAGGAGGAGGUAAGUUACAAAGGACAUGGAAUGAAAAGCUAAAGAAUUUCAAGUUAUUCUGAAAGUUUUUCUGUUUAAAGGAAAAUUUGUUCUUGUUCUUUCAUAAAUGAUCCUUAGAGUAUUUGCCUGUUGACAGUUAUACAGAACAGAAGUCACAGGUACUUACUGUCAUCAUAAUGUUCUUAAAGCUUUCAGUUUAUGAAAAUAUAUUAUGGAUGUG